UGGCAACAUGUGUUGAUUGCAAUGGUAGCUAUUUUGAUUAAUAAAGAUGUGUCUGAGCCUGGGUAUACAGAUCUAAAAUUCAUGGUCCAAACCUGCAAUUACUUUUGCACCAAC
This 114-nucleotide microRNA precursor is filed under the name Otolemur garnettii (small-eared galago). RNAcentral's name for it is "miRNA (ENSOGAG00000021349.1)". The record is from RNAcentral. Lineage: Eukaryota; Metazoa; Chordata; Mammalia; Primates; Galagidae.